Non-coding RNA from Oryza barthii, 197 nucleotides. The record is from Rfam. NCBI's taxonomy places the organism in Eukaryota, Viridiplantae, Streptophyta, Magnoliopsida, Poales, Poaceae.
AAAAAAUAAAAACCUAAAUUUUCGUGUACAACAUUUGACCGUCCGUCCUAUUUAAAAAAAAAUAAAAAGACAAGUCACGCAUAAAGUAUUAAUCAUGUUUUAUCAUCUAACAACAAUGAAAAUACUAAUUAUAAAAAAAAUUUCAAAUAAGACAGACAAUCAAAUGUUAGACAUGGAAACUCAGGGUUUGUCUUUUU